RNAcentral lists this non-coding RNA (31 nucleotides) under Rattus norvegicus (Norway rat). The record is from RNAcentral. Lineage: Eukaryota; Metazoa; Chordata; Mammalia; Rodentia; Muridae.
UCCACCCGCGUCCCAUUGGCCCCAAGUAAGC